UUCAUGUUUCACAGGGUUCCGGUCUGAAAGCACAUUUUCCACUGUGCUAAAUAUGGAUCAAAUUUGUAAAAAUGACUAGCUAGCUAAAUGAUAUUCACAGAAUUUGAAAGCUACAAUACGGAAUUGCACACCUCUGCCUCUGCUAGCCACACAACCACUGCCUCUGAGUGAUUGGGAGGACCUGAGCCCCUGGUCGUGCUGCCAUUCCGACUGCAGCUGUGGACCCCUGGCCUGAUUUCACGGGGCGUUCUACCUUGUCUCAGACCCCUGAUGGUCAAGUUUAGCCAGGACUCUCCUAAUGCUAUUUUGAAAUAGCACCAUGGAUGAAGGAGGGGGAGGAAAACAGCUUCUCUCUACCACACCUUCACCAAGUCAUCCAAUGUUUGCUUCAUGAAUCAUUUUUGCAUCUUCUAAAAUAAAUAUACAAUAUAAUUAUU
Long non-coding RNA from Salvelinus sp. IW2-2015, 437 nucleotides. RefSeq lists it as uncharacterized. Lineage: Eukaryota; Metazoa; Chordata; Actinopteri; Salmoniformes; Salmonidae. The record is from RefSeq and is a predicted model, not a curated record. The transcript is spliced from 4 exons.